This 541-nucleotide non-coding RNA is filed under the name Soboliphyme baturini. Its description in RNAcentral is "Eukaryotic large subunit ribosomal RNA". It matches the Rfam family "Eukaryotic large subunit ribosomal RNA", at positions 1602 to 2085 of the family's 3401-position model. Lineage: Eukaryota; Metazoa; Nematoda; Enoplea; Dioctophymatida; Soboliphymatidae. The record is from Rfam by way of RNAcentral.
GAAUCCGGUUAAUAUUCCGGAACCGAGACAUGGAGAAUCGCCCGUCGUUAGCGGCGAGACGAAGUGCGGUGACGCAAGCGCACUCAAAGAAUGGCCGGCGAUAGUUCCGGGAAGAGUUUUCUUUUCUUUUCAAGGGACGGACACCCUAGAAAUGGUUAAUUCGGAGAUAGGGUCGUUGUUCCCGCAAAGCGUCACGUCUGCCGGGGCGUACGGAGCGCUGUCGUCGGUUCAUAAAAAUUUGAGGAAGGCAAAAAUUCUCAUGCUCGGUCGUACUCAUAUCCGCAGCAGGUCUCCAAGGUGAAUUGCCUCUAGUCGAUUGAAUAAUGUAGGUAAGGGAAGUCGGCAAAUCAGAUCCGUAACUUCGGAAAAAGGAUUGGCUCUAAGAAUUUGGACGGGCGGGCUGAUGCGCGAAGCGCAUGUGGACGUGUUGCUGGUUUGAUCGAUGGUUCCGGCGCAAGUUGGUAUCGGAGUUCGAUCCGGACGCGCGACCGAUGCGUGGACCGUGUCAGCUGACGGUUCGAUAUGAAAGUGUUGUGCAUUU